This 22-nucleotide non-coding RNA is filed under the name Arabidopsis thaliana (thale cress). Lineage: Eukaryota; Viridiplantae; Streptophyta; Magnoliopsida; Brassicales; Brassicaceae. The record is from RNAcentral.
CAAGUUUUGUUUCGUGUUGAUG